UUUGGUGCAAUGUCACUACUUAUAAUGCUUGGUUGGCAACUUGAAUCAAACAUGUUUUUGUGACAAAGUGAGCCAAUUGUCAACACUUAUUUACAGAUUUAUUAAAUUGCAUUACAUCGUGAUGAUCUAUCUGUUCACUUUCAACUUCUUACCCUUAUUUAUCGCUUUUGUCCUCAGGUCUUCAAGGGGAUCUAUCUAGAGAUUUAGAUGAGUCUUUGAUGCAAAUUGCAAGGACUAUAGGAAAUGCAGUGUCGCCGGUAAAAGUUUACCUUGCAUUUCCCCCCUUAAUUCGUUGUUUUUUCUUAUUUGUUUCUAAAAAAUUAUGGUUCUCUACUUUUUCACUAAACUCUGUGCGUUGAUGAAGGUGAUUUUUCCCUUCCUUUUUCUAGGUACACACGUCAUGCAUAAAAUUAGUGCAAAGAAAAUAGGAAGGUUGGUGACUAGCUAGGAGUAACCACAUAGGUCACGAAUGCUUCAUUACAAAAGUGCUUUACACUUGGAGUUUGGUGCUAGCAUGGGGGCAUUGAUGCAUUAUGACCAUGAUUACUAUUGUUUUUGGAGGCUUUUCUUUGGUCAUGACGGUAUUAUUGUCAAUUGAAUUAGUGGUUUGCUUUGUGAUGAUAUUGAUUUUUAUAUUCCUAAA
This is a long non-coding RNA of Rhododendron vialii, 643 nucleotides long. RefSeq lists it as uncharacterized. NCBI's taxonomy places the organism in Eukaryota, Viridiplantae, Streptophyta, Magnoliopsida, Ericales, Ericaceae. The record is from RefSeq and is a predicted model, not a curated record. The transcript is spliced from 2 exons.